GACGAACGCUGGCGGCGUGCUUAACACAUGCAAGUCGAACGGAAAGGCCCUGCUUGCAGGGUACUCGAGUGGCGAACGGGUGAGUAACACGUGGGUGAUCUGCCCUGCACUUCGGGAUAAGCCUGGGAAACUGGGUCUAAUACCGGAUAGGAGCCAUUUUUAGUGUGAUGGUUGGAAAGUUUUUUCGGUGUAGGAUGAGCUCGCGGCCUAUCAGCUUGUUGGUGGGGUAAUGGCCUACCAAGGCGGCGACGGGUAGCCGGCCUGAGAGGGUGGACGGCCACAUUGGGACUGAGAUACGGCCCAGACUCCUACGGGAGGCAGCAGUGGGGAAUAUUGCACAAUGGGCGCAAGCCUGAUGCAGCGACGCCGCGUGGGGGGUGACGGCCUUCGGGUUGUAAACUCCUUUCGCUAGGGACGAAGCUUUUGUGACGGUACCUAGAUAAGAAGCACCGGCUAACUACGUG
This 464-nucleotide ribosomal RNA is filed under the name uncultured bacterium. RNAcentral's name for it is "partial 16S ribosomal RNA". It matches the Rfam family "Bacterial small subunit ribosomal RNA", at positions 28 to 507 of the family's 1533-position model. The record is from RNAcentral.